CAGGGCUGGGGGACGGCUGCUGGGCAGUGGGGCCAGCGGGGCCCUCCUCAUACCAGCCAGCCUGGCCCUGUGCCCGAGAUCAGCUCCCAGGUGGGCUCCCGGCGGGGUCCCUCCUGUGCAGUAACAGGUGUGAGCAUUCAUGCAGCGUUUUGAUGGUCAUGUAUGAUACUGCAAACAACA
Amazona collaria (yellow-billed parrot) is the source of this 180-nucleotide non-coding RNA. Ensembl annotates it as small Cajal body-specific RNA 16. The record is from Ensembl. NCBI's taxonomy places the organism in Eukaryota, Metazoa, Chordata, Aves, Psittaciformes, Psittacidae.